Molecule: ribosomal RNA, 460 nt
Filed under: Salmonella enterica
Lineage: Bacteria; Pseudomonadati; Pseudomonadota; Gammaproteobacteria; Enterobacterales; Enterobacteriaceae
Also listed under: 3 other names
Description: partial 23S ribosomal RNA
Rfam family: Bacterial large subunit ribosomal RNA
Source: RNAcentral
CUGGAGGUAUCAGAAGUGCGAAUGCUGACAUAAGUAACGAUAAAGCGGGUGAAAAGCCCGCUCGCCGGAAGACCAAGGGUUCCUGUCCAACGUUAAUCGGGGCAGGGUGAGUCGACCCCUAAGGCGAGGCCGAAAGGCGUAGUCGAUGGGAAACGGGUUAAUAUUCCCGUACUUGGUGUUACUGCGAAGGGGGGACGGAGAAGGCUAUGUUGGCCGGGCGACGGUUGUCCCGGUUUAAGCGUGUAGGUGUGUGUUCCAGGUAAAUCCGGUUCACUUUAACACUGAGGCGUGACGACGAGGCACUACGGUGCUGAAGCAACAAAUGCCCUGCUUCCAGGAAAAGCCUCUAAGCAUCAGGUAACAUCAAAUCGUACCCCAAACCGACACAGGUGGUCAGGUAGAGAAUACCAAGGCGCUUGAGAGAACUCGGGUGAAGGAACUAGGCAAAAUGGUGCCGUAA